ACUGAAUAGAUACCCGGGUAGUCCACGCCCUAAACGAUGUCGACUGGUUGUUGGGGGUUUGACACUCUCAGUAAACGAAAGCUAAAACGCGUGAAGUCGACCGCCUGGGGAGUACGGCCGCAAGGUUAAAACUCAAAGGAAUUGACGGGGACCCGCACAAGCGGUGGAUUAUGUGGAUUAAUUCGAUGCAACGCGAAAAACCUUACCUACCCUUGACAUGUCCGAGAGCCUGCUGAAAGGCGGGUGUGCCCGAAAGGGAAUCGGAACACAGGUGCUGCAUGGCUGUCGUCAGCUCGUGUCGUGAGAUGUUGGGUUAAGUCCCGCAACGAGCGCAACCCUUGUCAUUAGUUGCUACAUUCAGUUGGGCACUCUAAUGAGACUGCCGGUGACAAACCGGAGGAAGGUGGGGAUGACGUCAAGUCCUCAUGGCCCUUAUGGGUAGGGCUUCACACGUAAUACAAUGGCGCGUACAGAGGGCUGCUAAGCCGCGAGGUAGAGCCAAUCCCUUAAAGCGCGUCGUAGUCCGGAUUGCAGUCUGCAACUC
This 544-nucleotide ribosomal RNA is filed under the name uncultured bacterium. Its description in RNAcentral is "bacterial SSU rRNA". It matches the Rfam family "Bacterial small subunit ribosomal RNA", at positions 772 to 1313 of the family's 1533-position model. The record is from RNAcentral.